UACGUAGGGCGCAAGCGUUAUCCGGAAUUAUUGGGCGUAAAGAGCUCGUAGGCGGUUCGUCGCGUCGGCUGUGAAAUCCCGAGGCUCAACCUCGGGUCUGCAGUCGAUACGGGCGGACUGGAGUUCGGCAGGGGAGACUGGAAUUCCUGGUGUAGCGGUGAAAUGCGCAGAUAUCAGGAGGAACACCGGUGGCGAAGGCGGGUCUCUGGGCCGAUACUGACGCUGAGGAGCGAAAGCGUGGGGAGCGAACAGG
RNAcentral lists this ribosomal RNA (253 nucleotides) under uncultured bacterium. Its description in RNAcentral is "partial 16S ribosomal RNA". It matches the Rfam family "Bacterial small subunit ribosomal RNA", at positions 524 to 776 of the family's 1533-position model. The record is from RNAcentral.